GACGAACGCUGGCGGCGUGCUUAACACAUGCAAGUCGAACGGAAAGGCCCGGCGUUUGUGGGUUGGACGAGUGGCGAACGGGUGAGUAAAACGUGAGUAACCUGCCCUUGACUGUGUGGUAACUUCUGGGAACUGGGGCUAAUACCGGAUAUGAGCUACUGCUGCAUGGGGGGGAUUAGUGAAAUUCGGCGGUGGGGGAUGGUCUCGAGGCUUAUGCGCUUGUUUGGGUAGUAGUGGCUUACCAAGGCUUUGACGGGUAGCCGGCCUGAGAGGGUGACCGGCCACAUUGGGCCUGAGAUACGGCCCAGACUCCUAUGGGAGGCAGCAGUGGAGAAUCUUGCACAAUGGGCGGAAGCCUGAUGUAGCAACGCCGCGUGCGGGAUGCCGGCCUUCGGGUUGUAAACCGCUUUCUCCUGUGCUGAAGCGGUAGUGACGGUAAUUGGUCAAGAAGCACCGGCUAACUACGUG
This 468-nucleotide ribosomal RNA is filed under the name uncultured bacterium. RNAcentral's name for it is "partial 16S ribosomal RNA". It matches the Rfam family "Bacterial small subunit ribosomal RNA", at positions 28 to 507 of the family's 1533-position model. The record is from RNAcentral.